CGGCGGCGCCCGGGGAGGCGAGGGGCCGCCCGGCGCCGUGAGGCGGGAGCCGCCGCCGCCAUCUUAGCGGCGCGGCGCGGUGCGGGGCAGCGUUGUUCCGCUGCCGCCCCCCCGGCGCUUUCGGAGGGGGCAGCACAGCGGUAGUAAAGCUCCGCGGUCUUUUGUCUCCUGCCGCAGGUCUCUGGGAGCGCUGAGGAAACGGUGCAGAGACAAGUUUUUUCGUUCGUCUCUAGUUUAGUGUUUUAAAGUCGGACGUAGUAGUGCGUGUACGGCUGCGUGACCGUAUAACGGUCCGCAAAAACGCUUUAUUUUUGAUUCCGGAUUGCUUGUUGUAGCUAAGCCCUUUUGCCCUGUUCAUCGGAUUUGGACUUUUCUGCCCCUGCCUACCUCACUGGAGUACCUGAUGGAUGGCUUAGUGUCGCACACCGACCCCCUCCUGAGGGGCCUCCUGAGCGUCCCCUCAGGGCUUGAUCCURCCUGAGUUCUUUAACCGCAGAAAGACUGCAGACGAGCACUUGGGUUGCCAAACUAUGGCCCUUGGAGAACCCAGGUGUGACACACGGGAUGGAUAAUCUUUUGGCUCCGUUCCCGCGUGGUGGAGUGUGAUCAGUUCAGGCUGAUCAUCUCAGGCCGAUGUACAAAAAGUUGCUGCUUUCUGGCUUGCCUUUUUGCUUUGAAACGGGAGGUGACCUGAAGCAUAUCGUCAUGAUAUUCGUGGCAUUCCACCUGAAGGUACAAAGUGCUGCAAUCUUCAGCUCUUUUGCGUUCAGACAYGGAGGUUUCAAGUCAUUUCCCUCUCCAGUGCAAGUGUUUGGAGCACCGGCUGAAGAUCAGGUGAUUGCUAGAAUGCUUACUCCUAUACAUGCUGGUUCUUUCUAUGUGCAGCACAAAAAUGAACUGUCUUGUGGAAAGAGAAAUGCCAGGGAUUGGUAG
Molecule: long non-coding RNA, 933 nt
Organism: Apteryx haastii (Great spotted kiwi)
Lineage: Eukaryota; Metazoa; Chordata; Aves; Apterygiformes; Apterygidae
Source: Ensembl